GAAAAUGAUGAUAAAAAGUCUAACUAUCACCUACCAAAAAUUAGAAGAAAUGCUUUUACAUAUCCCUUUGACAGAAUUUUAAUGAAACCCAAUUAAGUAUAUAGUGUGUAUUCCUGAAUGCUAUCCUUGAGAAGGAGAUUGCCUAGUCAACUUGGAAGAAUAUAUCAGCCUGUCACCCAAAAAAUUACUCACAUGUUGCUUAGCCAAGACAUCCAAAAGCAACAUUACGAAGAACAAAUUUGUAGAGCUAAAUGAAGAAUUGAUCUACACAAGGAUAGGCUCAGGAGCUGAAUCUGAGGGAGCACCACUAGUGCCAUUGAGGACGGUGACGUUGCCAUCUGAAUCCACAUCCACAAUUACUGAAUCACCUUCUUUGAUCUCACCUGCAAGCAUCUUCUCGGCCAUACUAUCCUCUAGCAGUCUCAUAAUAGCUCUCCUCAAUGGCCUAGCUCCAUAGCUUGGGUUAUAUCCUUCAUCAACUACCCUAUCUCUAAACCUCUCUGUCACUUGGAGUUCUAUCUCCUUAUUCUUCAACCUCACAAAGACCUCCUUAAGCAUGAUAU
Molecule: unclassified non-coding RNA, 563 nt
Filed under: Hevea brasiliensis (rubber tree)
Lineage: Eukaryota; Viridiplantae; Streptophyta; Magnoliopsida; Malpighiales; Euphorbiaceae
Source: RNAcentral